RNAcentral lists this small RNA (270 nucleotides) under Pan troglodytes (chimpanzee). RNAcentral describes it as "retained intron". The record is from RNAcentral. Lineage: Eukaryota; Metazoa; Chordata; Mammalia; Primates; Hominidae.
CGAAUUAAAGGGAGAUUACACAGAAGCAAAAGCCUUGAUAGCAUGGAUUUCUGUGAGCUCACUAGCACAGCAAUGGAGGAAACAGCUAUAUGGGAACAACAUACAGUGACGCUUCACAGGGUAAGUUUGUGUUGCAGUAAAUAAUCUGUGUAUAACUCAGGAUACUGGCAGCUUUGAAAACAAUAGAGGAAAGCCAGAUGUCAGGAAGCCAGAGGGAGGAGGAAACUUUUUCUAUAUUCUUUUGUUUAAAAUUAGAGUUACAGUAAUUUU